UACGGAGGGUGCGAGCGUUGUCCGGAAUCACUGGGCGUAAAGGGCGCGUAGGCGGCGCGGGCAGUCAACGGUGAAAGCUUGGGGCUCAACCCCGAGUCGGCCGUCGAUACUCCCGUGCUUGAGCACUGUAGAGGCAGGUGGAAUUCCGGGUGUAGCGGUGGAAUGCGUAGAGAUCCGGAAGAACACCGGUGGCGAAGGCGGCCUGCUGGGCAGUAGCUGACGCUGAAGCGCGACAGCGUGGGGAGCAAACAGG
Molecule: ribosomal RNA, 253 nt
Filed under: uncultured bacterium
Lineage: Bacteria
Description: partial 16S ribosomal RNA
Rfam family: Bacterial small subunit ribosomal RNA
Source: RNAcentral